GCCCCGGCCGCAUCCCGCCUCCGGCCUCUGGCGAGGGUCUGCCGUUCGCCCCCAGCCCAGCUUCUCCAGACUUUAGUGCAGACCCUAACCGGGAGCCGUGACCCCAGACUCUGGCCGCGCAGGUGCCCCUCGGUAGCCGCGGGAGGGAGAACCUGCCACCCUCGCCCCUCCCCGGUUCACCCCGGUCCUGCCUCUCCGCUAACGCCUCCUGGAAGAGGGUCCUAAGAGCCUCGCGGCCCGCCACCAGCCUGGUCCCUCUGCAGACAGCCUCCUCCCAUCCCACUCUCCCUCCAUCCCCCGGCCUGACGGGUGAGAUGGGUUCCGCCACCAGUAGGUCUUUGGAGAAGGAAAUGGCAACCCAUUGCAGUAUUCUUGCCUGGAGAAUUCUAUGGACCAAGGAGCCUGGUGGGCUACAGUCCAUGGGGUCACGACGAGUCGGACACGACUGAGUGACUAACACAGGCAGGUAAUUACUGAGUGCCCGCCAUGUGCCGUGUACCAUGCCAGGUGCUAGGACCAGAGCUGGCAGCAAGAUGUACUCUCUAUCCUUAAGGAUCCCAUGGUGGGAUGGGAAACAGAUGGCCAUCCACCACAGGAUGGAUGCAAAAAUUGUGAGACAGUCCCAGGUGGCGCUAGUGGUAAAGAACCCACCUGCCAAUGCAGGAGACAUAACAGACGCAGGUUCGAACCCUGGACCAGGAAGAUCCCCUGGAGGAGGGCGUGGCAACCCACUCCAGUAUUCUUGCCUGGAAAAUCCCAUGGACAGAGGAGCCUGAUGGCUAUGGCCCUUAGGGCCGCACAGAGCCAGACGCGACUGAGCCACAAAGCACGGCGCACGACGGACUGAUAGCACCUUACUAGUGCUGUGGCCACGGAGCCCAGCACGGGAUCUGACCUAGAGCAGGCUCUCCAUGUCUGUUUCUGCAAAAGUAAAUAAACGCAAUCGCCUCUGUAAUCCGGAGCUCCACAGAGAGAUUAGACGGAGAACAAAGUUAAGGAAAAGCAUGGCCCCCAGUGUGCACGGGCCCAACGCUCUACGUGUGCGAGUAUGCCUGUGUACAUGUGUACCUGGGCACACAUGUGCAUGAGGGCCACGGGCAGAGCCACUCUGCCAGCACUCCGAUCUAGCCUAACCAGCCGGGUCCUCAUCCAGGAGCCACCACCAAGUAAGGUGUUGUGGACUGUGUGUUUGUGUCCCUUCAAAAUUCAUCGUGAAGCCCUAGCCUCAGCGGGAUGAUAUUUGAAGAUGGGUCACGGGGAGUGGGACUUCCUUAGUGGUCCAGUGGUUAGGACUCCCCACUCCCAGUGGAGGGGAUUCCUUCCCUGGGCAGAGAACUAGAUCCCGCAU
Long non-coding RNA from Bos taurus (domestic cattle), 1348 nucleotides. Lineage: Eukaryota; Metazoa; Chordata; Mammalia; Artiodactyla; Bovidae. The record is from Ensembl.